RNAcentral lists this ribosomal RNA (402 nucleotides) under uncultured bacterium. Its description in RNAcentral is "bacterial SSU rRNA". It matches the Rfam family "Bacterial small subunit ribosomal RNA", at positions 29 to 421 of the family's 1533-position model. The record is from RNAcentral.
AACGAACGCUGGCGGCGCGCCUAAUACAUGCAAGUCGAGCGAGAAGACGUAGCAAUACGUUUGUAAAGCGGCGAACGGGUGAGGAAUACAUGGGUAACCUACCCUCGAGUGGGGAAUAACUAGCCGAAAGGUUAGCUAAUACCGCGUACGCUCCUUGGACUUCGGUUCAGGGAGGAAAGCGAUACCGUGGGUAUCGCGCUCUUGGAUGGGCUCAUGUCCUAUCAGCUUGUUGGUGAGGUAACGGCUCACCAAGGCUUCGACGGGUAGCUGGUCUGAGAGGACGAUCAGCCACACUGGCACUGCGACACGGGCCAGACUCCUACGGGAGGCAGCAGUAAGGAAUAUUGCGCAAUGGGCGAAAGCCUGACGCAGCGACGCCGCGUGGGGGAGUGACGGCCUCGG